ACACCUCACACACACCCUGACCAGGGGAGCAGAACAAAUCCUCUGCGUCUCUUAUUAUUCAGAAACAGUAUCUUCCUUUUCACCGCUCCCAUUCUUCUUUAUAUCUCACCUCCCCUGAGACUUUAUCUGUCGGUGUGUGUGUGUGUUUCGUCCUGUAGGUAAAUGGUUCGUGAGCACAGGCAAAGAUAACCUCCUGAACGCAUGGCGGACACCUUAUGGAUCCAGCAUAUUCCAGUCUAAGGAGUCUUCGUCGGUCCUCAGCUGUGACAUCUCUCCUGACGAUCAGUUCAUCGUCACCGGCUCCGGGGACAAGAAGGCUACAGUCUACGAAGUUAUCUACUGAUCUCUGAUUGGCUGAAAAAAAAAACUAAUAAUCAGGGGGCGGGGCUGAGGCUCCCUCCUGCACCAAUGACUGUACAGAGCUUCGGUGGCAUGGAAAACAAGAGACACUCAACUCGUACUUUGUUGUUUUGUUUACGUUUGUGAAAGAAAUGAGAAAGAGAAGCAAAGGGGGCACAAAGUCACAUCUCUGGAAAAAAAACAAACUCUGUUUUUAAUGCUCUGAGAACGCUGGUUAGUCUAUAGCUGCGCAAAAUGUGGGAUUCCUCCAAAGAACUUUUGCUUUUGUUCCUUUUUUUGUUCCUUUUUUUUAACAAAAUAAAACCUCUGUAGUGAACAAGAAAUUAGCAACAAAAAAAAAUCUUAUUUUUUUAGCCUUUGAAUUUUUCGCAAACAGUUGGACUGCAUCAAGUGGAAGAAGACAGAUGUGUGGCUGAGGAGGGGAGGGGGGGAAGGGUUCAGGGGCUUAAUGGAAAAAUACUAUCCAUAUCUGUGCUGUGUAAAGAGUCCCACCCUGGGUCAGCUUGGCCCGGUUUGGCCCGGUCCGGAUACGUGCCGCUCCUCGGGGCAGCAGAUGUGUGGCAGAUGUGUGGCAGAUGUGAAGAUGGCGUGCUCUGAGGUUCCAGCUAUUUUUCUUUUCUCUCCUGGCUAAGUUUCAUGAGCAGCAACAUGAUUGUAUCAUCUCCAGUACUCACAAGACAGCACAGAGCUUCUUCUAAAGUCUCCUGAGAGUUUGUCUUUGUUCCUUUUCCGUCUUUAUAAAACAACAAAGCCAGACUUAUUGUGGAAAUAUGUUUAGGGAAAACCAGCCUGAAACCGGAAGCCACGACCCUGAAGACAGAAGUGAGUUCAAACCGCUCACAGGAGGUGAACUAAAUACAUAUUUGGGCCUCUCUGUCAUCGAAACACUCAACAUUAAAUGGGUUUUUUAAAUGUAUUUGUUAGGGCACAUAUAAGGCAGACAGGUAUUUUCACAACUGCAUCAUGAACCUUGCUAUAUAUGGACAUGUAAAUAAAGUUCUCUAAAGGCAAACGA
Notothenia coriiceps (black rockcod) is the source of this 1375-nucleotide long non-coding RNA. RefSeq lists it as uncharacterized. The transcript is spliced from 2 exons. The record is from RefSeq and is a predicted model, not a curated record. Lineage: Eukaryota; Metazoa; Chordata; Actinopteri; Perciformes; Nototheniidae.